Molecule: small RNA, 789 nt
Filed under: Pongo abelii (Sumatran orangutan)
Lineage: Eukaryota; Metazoa; Chordata; Mammalia; Primates; Hominidae
Description: retained intron
Source: RNAcentral
AGCUGGUACGCAGCACCCACAGCACCGCGGCAGCAGCCAGUGCCGACUCCCGCCUAGCUCUUUUGACUCUGUUCGCGGGAAGAAUGGGGAAACAGUAAGGUUGCGGCGCCUCCCGCGAGAAGAGGUACCUGAGGCUGGCGCCGCAGUCCCCCGCCGCACCGGCACCGGAGCUCCACACCCCACUUCCGGGGUCACGUCACCACCGGGAAUCCUGUGAUCGCAGAAGGAUUCAUCCCACUGGAAAAAUGUUUAUUCUUUCAGAUGGAGAAGGAAAAAAUGGAACCAUCGAGUUGAUGGAACCCGUAUGUUUAAGUAUUAAUAAGUUUCAUAUAUAUUAUAGUUAAUUCUUCAUCUGGAUUUGGUUUGUUGCCGAUGUUUCUAAUUUUUGGAAUGGAUUUAAAAAGGAUGAGCUGGUAAAACGUCCCUGGCUCUAAAAUUUAAUUCUUGUACUAUUCUCUCGUUGUAUUUCCUUUUACAUUUUUAAACAAUGAUUUGGGCUUCAUGAUUUUUGAACAUAUCCCAUAAAUGUUGGAUAACAAUUCUCAUUCCUUAUGAAAGACCAUAAAAUCACAUAAGAAAAAUUUAAAUUGCUUUUUUCUUCCUCAAGAGGUUUUUUGUUUCGUUUUUGUUUUUUGUUUUGAGACAAGGUCUCACUCUGUUGCCCCGGGUGGAAUGCAGUGGCACCAUCGUGGCGCACUGCAGCCUUAGCCUCGCGAGAUCAAGUUGCUCCCAUCUCAGCCUCCCCAGUAGCUGGGACUACAGGCAUGUUCAACCAUGCCUGGCUAAUUU